Molecule: ribosomal RNA, 156 nt
Filed under: Nicotiana sylvestris (wood tobacco)
Lineage: Eukaryota; Viridiplantae; Streptophyta; Magnoliopsida; Solanales; Solanaceae
Description: 5.8S ribosomal RNA
Rfam family: 5.8S ribosomal RNA
About the family: 5.8S ribosomal RNA (5.8S rRNA) is a component of the large subunit of the eukaryotic ribosome. It is transcribed by RNA polymerase I as part of the 45S precursor that also contains 18S and 28S rRNA.
Source: Rfam by way of RNAcentral
CAUAAACAACAAUGGAUAUCUCCACUCUUGCAUCAAUGAAGAACAUAGCGAAAUAGGAUAUUUGGUUUGAAUUGCAUAAUCAAGUAAAUUAUCGAGUCUUUAAGCAUAAGUUGCGCUCGAAAUCAUUAGGCUGAGGGCACAUCAACCUGGACGUCA